Molecule: ribosomal RNA, 781 nt
Filed under: uncultured Neocallimastigales
Lineage: Eukaryota; Fungi; Neocallimastigomycota; Neocallimastigomycetes; Neocallimastigales
Description: partial large subunit ribosomal RNA
Rfam family: Eukaryotic large subunit ribosomal RNA
Source: RNAcentral
CUAUACAUGACUCUGUGCAUAUCAAUAAGCGGAGGAAAAGAAACUAACAAGGAUUCCCCUAGUAACGGCGAGUGAAGCGGGAAGAGCUCAAAUUUGAAAUCUUAAAGGGUUUCCCUUUACGAAUUGUAGUUUAAAGAAGUGUUUUCUGUUGAGGUUUUGGUAAAAGUUCUUUGGAAUAGGACAUCAUAGAGGGUGAGAAUCCCGUAUUUGACCUUUACUUUCAACUUUGUGAUACACUUUCAAAGAGUCGGAUUGUUUGGGAAUGCAGUCCAAAAUGGGUGGUAAAUUUCAUCUAAAGCUAAAUAUUGGCGAGAGACCGAUAGCGAACAAGUACCGUGAGGGAAAGAUGAAAAGAACUUUGAAAAGAGAGUUAAACAGUACGUGAAAUUGUCAAAAGGGAAGCGUUUGACACCAGUGUUGUUUUUCUCGAAAAUCAAUUAAAAUGGACUCGAUUUAUGCUAUCUGUUGAGACCUUUAAUCAGCUAACUGUUAAUUUUUGAGUCUUUUCUUUAAUGCACUUUUCAGUUAACAAGUCAACAUCAGUUUCUUUUGUUGUAAAAGGGUCAUUGGAAGGUGGCUUUCUUUUCGGAGAAAGUGUUUAUAGCCUUUGGCCUCUGCAAUCGGAGAGACUGAGGUCUGCAGCGUAGACUCUUCGGAGUUAGAUACAUUUGUGCUAAGUUAUAGCUUUUUAUAGACAACUUGUUGACUAUAAUUAGUCUUGUAGCUUACUCGCUUAUGCUAUUUUACCUACGCUUAGGAUGUUGACAGCAGUAUAGACUGU